RNAcentral lists this transfer RNA (65 nucleotides) under Anabrus simplex (Mormon cricket). RNAcentral describes it as "tRNA-His". It matches the Rfam family "tRNA". From Rfam's summary of the family: Transfer RNA (tRNA) molecules are approximately 80 nucleotides in length. Their secondary structure includes four short double-helical elements and three loops (D, anti-codon, and T loops). Lineage: Eukaryota; Metazoa; Arthropoda; Insecta; Orthoptera; Tettigoniidae. The record is from RNAcentral.
GUUUAAAUAGUUUAAAGUAAAAUGUUGGUUUGUGAUACCAAUGAUGUAGGUGACUACUUUAAACC